UCCGGCCGGUGGUGCCGCACCGGCUUCCCGCAGACGUGUAACGGACGGUGGGCCGCAGCCAUGGCCGAGAGGAAAUCUAACGGUGGCAGUGGCGGCGCCUCUACCUCCUCGUUGAGCACUAACUUACUCUUCUCCUCCUCGGCCACGGAGCUCAGCUUUAACGUGCCCUUCAUCCCAGUCACCCAAGCUGUCGCGGCCCCGGCCUCCCUGCUCUUGCCCGGAGAGGAUUCCACAGAUGUGGGUGAGGAGGACAGCUUCCUCGGUCAGACUUCUGUUCACACAUCCACCCCACAGACAUUUAGUUACUUCUCUCAGGUAUCAAGCAGUAGUGAUCCUUUUGGGAAUAUUGGACAGUCACCCUUAACAACUGCAGCAACAUCGGUUGGACAAUCUGCAUUCUCCAAUUCCCCGACUGCUCUCCCUUUUACAACUGGAUCCCAAGAUGUGUUGAAUGCAUUUCCACCAUCUGUAUCGAAGCCUCCAUAUGGUGCUCCACCUUCCCCACAGAUGGGAAUGAAUACUUACCUGCCUUCUCAGCCAAGUAGUCUCCCUCCUUCAAAUUUUGGGAGCCCAUCCCAAGGAACUCCCCAAGGGUACAAUCCAUAUCGCCAUACCCCUGUCAGCAGCAGGGCUAAUCCAUAUAUUGCACCACCACAGCUGCAACMGUGCCAAACACCAGGCCAUCCCUCUCACCCUCCACCCUCUGGACCCCCUAUGCAGAUGUACCAGACGCCUCCAGGAUCUUUGCCACCGAUUCCUCCUUCAGUGCAGUCACCAACACAGCAGCAGGUACUUGCUAGACCUGUGGGUCCCUCUGUGCCAGGGCCGCCACCUUUUGUACUUCAAAAUCAAUAUGAACCUGUUCAACCCCACUGGUUUUACUGCAAGGAGGUAGAAUAUAAGCAACUAUGGAUGCCUUUCAGUGUGUUUGACUCUUCAAAUCUUGAAGAAAUUUAUAAUUCUGUCCAGCCAGAUCCUGAGAAUGUGAUCCUAGGUACAGAUGGAGGGCGCUAUGAUGUUUACCUCUAUGACCGAAUGAGAAAAGCCGUGUACUGGGAGGAGGAGCCUGCUGAAGUGAGACGCUGUACUUGGUUUUACAAGGGGGACACAGAUAGCAGAUUUGUUCCCUAUACAGAGGAGUUCAGUGAAAAACUAGAGGCAGAAUAUAAAAAAGCUGUAACCACAAAUCAGUGGCACCGCAGAUUAGAGUUUCCAAGUGGAGAGACCAUUGUUAUGCACAAUCCAAAGGUUAUUGUUCAGUUCCAGCCUUCUUCAGUGCCCGACGAGUGGGGGACCACACAGGAUGGACAGACAAGGCCCAGGGUUGUAAAACGUGGGAUUGACGACAACCUUGAUGAGAUUCCUGAUGGGGAAAUGCCUCAGAUUGACCAUUUGGUAUUCAUGGUGCAUGGUAUUGGACCUGUGUGUGACUUGCGCUUUAGAAGCAUUGUUGAAUGUGUGGAUGAUUUUAGGGUGGUUUCUCUCAAAUUGCUGCAGACACAUUUCAAGAAAUCUUUAGAUGAGGGGAAAGUCAGCCGAGUGGAGUUCCUCCCAGUUCACUGGCACAGUGCCUUGGGUGGGGAUGCAACAGGUGUUGACAGGAAUAUCAAGAAAAUCACUUUGCCAAGUAUUGGUCGUUUUCGUCACUUUACCAAUGAGACCUUGCUAGAUAUUUUAUUUUAUAAUAGCCCCACCUACUGUCAAACAAUUGUGGAGAAAGUGGGAGUGGAAAUAAAUCGUCUCUAUGCACUCUUCAUGAGUCGGAAUCCAGACUUCAAAGGAAGAGUCUCUGUUGCUGGUCACAGUUUAGGUUCUUUAAUAUUGUUUGAUAUCCUAUCUAAUCAAAAAGAUUUGAAUUUCUCCAAGUCUCCGGGACCUCCUGCUGUUGCUAAUGGAGUUGUGAAGCAGCCCCAUUUUCAGGACAAGCAGAUGCACGAAGAGUCAAAGCUGGCUUUGGAUGAUUCAUGUGACCUUGAUGUUGAAAAUGAAGAAGUCCUAACUUUGCAAGAAACUCUGGAAGCACUUAGCCUCUCUGAAUAUGUUAAUACUUUUGAGAAGGAAAAGAUUGAUAUGGAAUCUCUGCUUAUGUGUACAGUUGAUGACCUGAAGGAAAUGGGAAUACCCCUUGGACCCAGGAAGAAGAUAGCUAACUUUGUAAAACUUAAAGCAGCCAGAUUGGAACAGAAAAAAGCAGCAUCAGAAAAGAAGGCAAUGAUGGCUGCUUCGACAAAAGGACAAGAUGAAAGUGCUCAGAAAGCUAAAGAAGUGGCUUCUGUCCCUUCAGAAUCUAGUGAAUCUAAGAGGAAGCUUCCAGUUGGUGCUUACGUUUCUUCUGUGCACAUUGAUUAUGAGUCUUUUGAAGUUGGCACUGGACAGGUUUCUGUUAUUUACAGCUCAUUAGACUUUGAGCCAGAGAUUUUCUUUGCUUUGGGAUCUCCAGUUGGUAUGUUUCUUACCAUCCGAGGAGUGGACAAGAUAGAUGAAAACUACAGGCUUCCUACUUGUAAAGGAUUCUUCAAUAUUUAUCAUCCUCUUGAUCCAGUGGCAUAUAGAUUAGAACCUAUGAUUGUUCCAGAUUUGGAUCUAAAAGCAGUCCUCAUCCCACAUCACAAAGGCAGAAAAAGACUUCAUUUGGAGUUGAAAGAAAGUCUCUCUCGAAUGGGAUCUGAUUUGAAGCAGGGUUUUAUUAGCUCUCUGAAAAGUGCUUGGCAGACACUUAAUGAGUUUGCCCGUGCUCAUACCUCUUCAACUCAGUUGCAAGAAGAAUUGGAGAAAGUUGCCCAUCAAAUCAAAGAGGAAGAAGAAAAGCAAGUAGUUGAAGCAGAAAAGAUUGUUGAAAGUCCAGAUUUUUCCAAGGAUGAAGACUACUUAGGAAAAGUUGGAAUGUUAAAYGGAGGCCGCCGAAUCGAUUACGUUCUUCAAGAAAAGCCAAUAGAGAGUUUUAAUGAAUAUCUUUUCGCUCUUCAGAGUCAUUUGUGCUAUUGGGAAUCCGAAGAUACUGCUCUCCUACUACUUAAAGAAAUUUAUCGAACAAUGAACAUUAGUCCAGAGCAGCCCCAGCAUUGAUCGGACUUCUAUUUUACUGGCCUUGAGAUGUAAGAAAUACAGAAAAGAGCUGGGUGUGGUGAAAGUCCCAGGGAAAAUCACCUUGCUGAAAGAACUCUCCAUGGAUGUUCCCAGUCUGCUCCUGUGAUGGAAGAUUGAAAAGCGAUGCGUCAACAGUUGUUCACACAUGACUCUCAGGUGUGGGCUUCAUUCAGAAGGCAACACAUGGAGCGAAAAGGCAAUGACAAAAUCUACUGCAUUUGGACAGUAUGGAUGAGAAAAUGUAAUUAUAAAAAUAAUGCAAUGAAAAAUUCCUCAGAUUUGUUUAGUUGUAUAGUUGUCCAAGUUAAGUGUGAGUUAAAUGAAGAAAUAUUUGUAGCAUGCAAAUGGUUAUUUCUGUUUCUGAAAAACCACCAUCAAUGGGCUAUUAAACUUACAUUUUUCUUUUUA
Urocitellus parryii (Arctic ground squirrel) is the source of this 3495-nucleotide RNA transcript. It is a transcript of the gene named SEC23 interacting protein, with no coding region annotated. NCBI's taxonomy places the organism in Eukaryota, Metazoa, Chordata, Mammalia, Rodentia, Sciuridae. The record is from RefSeq and is a predicted model, not a curated record.